RNAcentral lists this ribosomal RNA (467 nucleotides) under uncultured bacterium. Its description in RNAcentral is "partial 16S ribosomal RNA". It matches the Rfam family "Bacterial small subunit ribosomal RNA", at positions 28 to 506 of the family's 1533-position model. The record is from RNAcentral.
GACGAACGCUGGCGGCGUGCUUAACACAUGCAAGUCGAACGGAAAGGCCCUGCUUUUGUGGGGUGCUCGAGUGGCGAACGGGUGAGUAACACGUGAGUAACCUGCCCUUGACUUUGGGAUAACUUCAGGAAACUGGGGCUAAUACCGGAUAGGAGCUCCUGCUGCAUGGUGGGGGUUGGAAAGUUUCGGCGGUUGGGGAUGGACUCGCGGCUUAUCAGCUUGUUGGUGGGGUAGUGGCUUACCAAGGCUUUGACGGGUAGCCGGCCUGAGAGGGUGACCGGCCACUUGGGGACUGAGGUACGGCCCAGACUCCUCGGGGGGGAAGCGGUGGGGAAUAUUGCAAAAGGGGCGGAAGCGGGGUGCAGCAACGCCGCGGGGGGGGUGACGGCCUUCGGGUUUAAACCCGUUUUCGCCUGUGACGAGGCGGGGGGGGCGGGAAUGGGAAAAGAAGCACCGGCAAACUACGU